CUCUGUGACUCCGUACGGGAGGCAGCAGUGGGGAAUAUUGCACAAUGGGCGCAAGCCUGAUGCAGCAACGCCGCGUGAGUGAUGAAGGCCUUCGGGGUCGUAAAGCUCUGUCCUCAAGGAAGAAUAAAUGACGGUACUUGAGGAGGAAGCCCCGGCUAACUACGUGCCAGCAGCCGCGGUAAUACGUAGGGGCAAGCGUUAUCCGGAAUCACUGGGGCGUAAAGGGGUGCGUAGGCGGUUUUUCAAGUCAGAAGUGAAAGGCUAUGGCUCAACCAUAGUAAGCUUUUGAAACUGUUAAACUUGAGUGCAGGAGAGGAAAGUGGAAUUCCUAGUGUAGAGGUGAAAUUCGUAGAUAUUAGGAGGAACACCAGUGGCGAAGGCGACUUACUGGACUGUAACUGACGCUGAUGCACGAAAGCGUGGGUAGCGAACAGGAUUAGAUACCCUGGUAG
This 452-nucleotide ribosomal RNA is filed under the name uncultured bacterium. Its description in RNAcentral is "bacterial SSU rRNA". It matches the Rfam family "Bacterial small subunit ribosomal RNA", at positions 328 to 793 of the family's 1533-position model. The record is from RNAcentral.